Non-coding RNA from Salmo salar (Atlantic salmon), 614 nucleotides. Lineage: Eukaryota; Metazoa; Chordata; Actinopteri; Salmoniformes; Salmonidae. The record is from RefSeq and is a predicted model, not a curated record.
UCAAGACCUCCGACUGGGACGAAAGUUCACCAUCCAACAGGACAAUAACCCUAAGCACAAAGUCAUUUGGUCUAAAUUCUUUCUGAAUGCACUGUACAUGACAGCUUUCUGACCAUUAGUGACUCACCACCCUGGCCUGUACUGAGCUCAAAGCCAGUGUUAUGGGAAUUUGUGGAACACACUCGUUGUUUUUAGAUUUAUGAGAAAGGCGGUUUUGUUAAUGUCUCAUUUAAUAGUUUCUUUGCUCUGUCCACAGUGAGAACAAACCAAAGAAUGGAGGCAUAUGUGUGUUCAAUCACAACUGCAAUUGACAUCAUCCUGGCCAAUGACGGCUGCUUUUCUAUGGUUGGCCAGAUAGAUGGUGGUCUGCCUGAGGUUGUCCAGAGAGCCAUGGUGAAAUCCAGCCCCCACAUUUGGUUUGAGAUAUCUGAAGUCAGACUGACACCUUGUGGCCAAAAGGUUGAGCAACCAUGUUGCAGACAACUCAACACCCCGUCCUCAUCUUCCCAGAGGUUUAGUAUGGACACUUUUCUGAUGGAUUGAGACUGAGUGAAGGCUGUACUAUAAAUUAAAUCAAAUCAAAUAGAAUUAGUCACAUGUGCCGAAUACAACCG